Nothobranchius furzeri (turquoise killifish) is the source of this 851-nucleotide non-coding RNA. NCBI's taxonomy places the organism in Eukaryota, Metazoa, Chordata, Actinopteri, Cyprinodontiformes, Nothobranchiidae. The record is from RefSeq and is a predicted model, not a curated record.
GUAGCAUUUGCUCAGUCAGCUCUUGAAGCUUCUCAGCAGACCGAGAAGAAGAGCGAGGGUCAGAGGAGCAUUAACCGUUGGAGUUUGCGCUUUUGUUCUGCAUCUGCACUUGACAGUCACUGGUUCUGCACCACUGAGCUAAACAUGUGUAAAUGUAGAGCGUCUGCGUUCCUAUGAGCUGUCAGCCACACCGGGAAGCCUGUCUAUGAAUCUGCGGUCAGACUUCAAUGAUCCAACCCCACUCUCUGCACACAAGAUUGAUGGCAUGCUGCUGUUGACCCCCAAGAGGUUCAUACAAGUGAGACCACUGGAAUUACAUGAUGUCCACACAAGGCGUACCACUGUUCUCCAUGCCCUUCCUGUCUAUCUACGUGAGGAAACCUCUGGGUUUUUGAGGACAUGUGUGGAUGAUACCAAUGAGCCGGACCUCAGGGAUGCAGCAGUUGUCCUCCUGACAACCAUCACAGAUGAUGCAGAGAGUCCGGUUACGUACGACCCAGUGAGAAUCUGUUAUCCUAGAGGGUGAUGUGAUUGUCAACCUCUCCAGCCUUCCUGAUGCCUUCCUGGGCAUGCUCAGUUGAAGUUUCCAUCUCUGCGCGUUCAAGAUGUAAGAAAAAUAAUACGAAAGAAAUGCAACAAUGAAAACUUCAAAAAGGCAUCAACAACCAAGCAAGUGGAUCCAUAAAAUGGACUGAUUUUUUAAAGGCAUUUUUAAAAAGUCUUUCAAAAUGGACAGAAUUAACGCGUCAUGUUCAGAACAGUUUGCGUUCUCAUCUUUGAUUAAUCCUGGUAAACAGGUCUGUUUUUGUUCUGUUCUAAUUCUCUCUGUUUAAUAAAUUUAAACAAAAUGA